RNAcentral lists this ribosomal RNA (329 nucleotides) under Kernia pachypleura. Its description in RNAcentral is "eukaryotic LSU rRNA". The stretch from base 1 to 84 matches the Rfam family "5.8S ribosomal RNA", at positions 71 to 154 of the family's 154-position model. The record is from RNAcentral. Lineage: Eukaryota; Fungi; Ascomycota; Sordariomycetes; Microascales; Microascaceae.
AUUGCAGAAUUCAGUGAACCAUCGAAUCUUUGAACGCACAUUGCGCCCGGUAGUAAUCUGCCGGGCAUGCCUGUCCGAGCGUCAUUUCUCCCCUCGAGCGCGGCUUCACGGCCGACGCCCGGUGUUGGGGCGCUACGGAGGGAGCCUCGCGCCCCCCCCGUAGGCCCCGAAAUGUAGUGGCGGUCCCGCCGCGGCGCCCCCUGCGUAGUAGUUUUACAACUCGCAUCGGGUCCCGGCGGAGGCCAGCCGUCAAACCCCCAACUCAAUAUUUUGACCUCGGAUCAGGUAGGGUUACCCGCUGAACUUAAGCAUAUCAAUAAGCGGAGGAA